RNAcentral lists this ribosomal RNA (253 nucleotides) under uncultured bacterium. RNAcentral describes it as "partial 16S ribosomal RNA". It matches the Rfam family "Bacterial small subunit ribosomal RNA", at positions 524 to 776 of the family's 1533-position model. The record is from RNAcentral.
UACGUAGGGUGCGAGCGUUGUCCGGAUUUAUUGGGCGUAAAGAGCUCGUAGGCGGCUCGUCGCGUCGACCGUGAAAACCCGCAGCUUAACUGCGGGCUUGCGGUUGAUACGGGCGGGCUAGAGUUCGGUAGGGGAGACUGGAAUUCCUGGUGUAGCGGUGAAAUGCGCAGAUAUCAGGAAGAACACCCGUGGCGAAGGCGGCUCUCUGGGACGGUACUGACGCUGAGACGCGAAAGCGUGGGGAGCGAACAGG